UGGGGAAUAUUGGACAAUGGGCGCAAGCCUGAUCCAGCCAUGCCGCGUGAGUGAUGAAGGCCCUAGGGUUGUAAAGCUCUUUCACCGGUGAAGAUAAUGACGGUAACCGGAGAAGAAGCCCCGGCUAACUUCGUGCCAGCAGCCGCGGUAAUACGAAGGGGGCUAGCGUUGUUCGGAUUUACUGGGCGUAAAGCGCACGUAGGCGGACUAUUAAGUCAGGGGUGAAAUCCCGGGGCUCAACCCCGGAACUGCCUUUGAUACUGGUAGUCUAGAGUUCGAGAGAGGUGAGUGGAAUUCCGAGUGUAGAGGUGAAAUUCGUAGAUAUUCGGAGGAAAACCAGUGGCGAAGGCGGCUCACUGGCUCGAUACUGACGCUGAGGUGCGAAAGCGUGAGGAGCAAACAGG
This 404-nucleotide ribosomal RNA is filed under the name Actinomycetes bacterium. RNAcentral describes it as "Actinobacteria bacterium partial 16S ribosomal RNA". It matches the Rfam family "Bacterial small subunit ribosomal RNA", at positions 355 to 776 of the family's 1533-position model. Lineage: Bacteria; Bacillati; Actinomycetota; Actinomycetes. The record is from RNAcentral.